This 1527-nucleotide ribosomal RNA is filed under the name microbial mat metagenome. RNAcentral's name for it is "bacterial SSU rRNA". It matches the Rfam family "Bacterial small subunit ribosomal RNA". The record is from RNAcentral.
AGAGUUUGAUCCUAGCUCAGGAUGAACGCUGGCGGCGUGGAUGAGGCAUGCAAGUCAAACGGCCCUUCGGGGCAGUGGCAGACGAGGUAGUAACAUGUGGGAACUUACCCUAGAGUCAGGGAUAACCGGUCGAAAGAUCGGAUAAUACUUGAUAGUCCGGCUAUUUAUUUAGUCGGUAAAGAUUUAUCGCUCUAGGAAAGGCCCGCACAGUAUCAGCUAGUUGGUAAGGUAAUGGCUUACCAAGGCUAUGACGCUUAGGGGAGCUGAGAGGCUGACCCCCACCGAUGGUACUGAGACACGGACCAUACACCUACGGGUGGCUGCAGUCGAGAAUCUUCCGCAAUGGACGAAAGUCUGACGGAGCGACGCCGCGUGAUUGAUGAAGCCCUUCGGGGUGUAAAAAUCUUUUAUGAAGGAGGAAGUUUAUUGACGUUACUUCAUGAAUAAGGGGCUCCAAACUCUGUGCCAGCAGGAGCGGUAAUACAGAGGCCUCGAGCGUUAUCCGGAAUUAUUGGGCGUAAAGGGUGUGUAGGCUGUUUUAUUAGUCUUUUGUUAAAGCUCCGGGCUCAACCCGGUAAAAGCAAAAGAUACGGUAAAACUAGAGGUUGUAAGGGGUGAACAGAACUCAUAGUGUAGGGGUGAAAUCCGUUGAUAUUAUGGGGAAUACCAAAAGCGAAGGCAGUUCACUGGUGCAAUUCUGACGCUGAAACACGAAAGCAUGGGUAGCGAAUGGGAUUAGAUACCCCAGUAGUCCAUGCCCUAAACGUUGUUCUCUAGAUUUGAGGAGCAUCGACCCUCUUCGAGUCGUAGCUAACGCGUUAAGAGAACCGCCUGGGUAGUACGGCCGCAAGGCUAAAACUCAAAGGAAUAGACGGGGGCUUGCACAAGCGGUGGAUCAUGUGGCUUAAUUCGUCGGUACACGAAGAACCUUACCAAGGCUAGACAUCUAAUUGAAAGCUCUAAGAGACUAGAGCCCUCUUCGGACAAUUAGACAGGUGUUGCAUGGCCGUCGUCAGUUCGUGGUUUGAAUUGUUCCCUUAAGUGGGGUAACGAACGCAACCCUCAUCGUGUGUUACAAGUGUCACACGAGACUGCCCUCGCUUUUGAUUUUGAGUUAAUUAAAAAUUAAUCCAAACGCAAAAGUAAUAAAUAUUUUUAUUACUUAUCGAAAUCAAGAGCGAGGGAGGAAGGUGAGGAUGACGCCAGGUCAGCAUGACCCUAGACGCCUUGGGCUGCACACAUGAUACAAUGGGUAGGACAAAAAGACGCAAUAUCGAGAGAUGGAGCAAAUCAAUUAAACCUACCCCCAGUUCGGAUUGAGGUCUGCAACUCGACCUCAUGAAGUUGGAAUCGCUAGUAAUCGUAGGUCAGCUAUACUACGGUGAAUACGUUCUCAAGCCUUGUACUCACCGCCCGUCACAUCAAGGGAAUUGGGAGUACUCGAAAUUCCAACUAGUUUGGAAUAACGGUAAAUUCAAUGACAGGGAUGAAGUCGUAACAAGGCACGGGUAGCGGAAGCUGUUCGUG